GUAGGGUGCAAGCGUUAAUCGGAAUUACUGGGCGUAAAGCGUGCGCAGGCGGUUAUGUAAGACAGAGGUGAAAUCCCCGGGCUCAACCUGGGAACGGCCUUUGUGACUGCAUAGCUAGAGUACGGUAGAGGGGGAUGGAAUUCCGCGUGUGGCAGUGAAAUGCGUAGAUAUGCGGAGGAACACCGAUGGCGAAGGCAAUCCCCUGGACCUGUACUGACGCUCAUGCACGAAAGCGUGGGGAGCAAACAGGAUUAGAUACCCUGGUAGUCCACGCCGUAAACGAUGUCGACUUGGAGGUUGUUCCCUUGAGGAGUGGCUUCCGGAGCUAACGCGUUAAGUCGACCGCCUGGGGAGUACGGCCGCAAGGUUAAAACUCAAAUGAAUUGACGGGGGCCCGCACAAGCGGUGGAGCAUGUGGUUUAAUUCGAUGCAACGCGAAGAACCUUACCUACUCUUGACAUCCAGAGAACUUUCCAGAGAUGGAUUGGUGCCUUCGGGAACUCUGAGACAGGUGC
This 515-nucleotide ribosomal RNA is filed under the name bacterium symbiont of Megymenum gracilicorne. Its description in RNAcentral is "bacterial SSU rRNA". It matches the Rfam family "Bacterial small subunit ribosomal RNA", at positions 527 to 1041 of the family's 1533-position model. The record is from RNAcentral.